GACGAACCGUGCGAACGUUGUUCGGAAUCACUGGGCUUAAAGGGCGCGUAGGCGGGCUGCCAAGUCCGUGGUGAAAUCCUCCGGCCCAACCGGAGAACGGCCUCGGAUACUGGCGGCCUGGAGGGGGGUAGGGGCGAGCGGAACUGUGGGUGGAGCGGUGAAAUGCGUUGAUAUCCACAGGAACUCCGGUGGCGAAGGCGGCUCGCUGGACCCCACCUGACGCUGAGGCGCGAAAGCCAGGGGAGCGAACGGG
This 253-nucleotide ribosomal RNA is filed under the name uncultured bacterium. RNAcentral describes it as "partial 16S ribosomal RNA". It matches the Rfam family "Bacterial small subunit ribosomal RNA", at positions 524 to 776 of the family's 1533-position model. The record is from RNAcentral.